RNAcentral lists this ribosomal RNA (429 nucleotides) under Pseudomonadota bacterium. RNAcentral's name for it is "Proteobacteria bacterium partial 16S ribosomal RNA". It matches the Rfam family "Bacterial small subunit ribosomal RNA", at positions 355 to 776 of the family's 1533-position model. Lineage: Bacteria; Pseudomonadati; Pseudomonadota. The record is from RNAcentral.
UGGGGAAUAUUGGACAAUGGGCGAAAGCCUGAUCCAGCCAUGCCGCGUGUGUGAAGAAGGUCUUCGGAUUGUAAAGCACUUUAAGUUGGGAGGAAGGGCAGUAAGCGAAUACCUUGCUGUUUUGACGUUACCGACAGAAUAAGCACCGGCUAACUCUGUGCCAGCAGCCGCGGUAAUACAGAGGGUGCAAGCGUUAAUCGGAAUUACUGGGCGUAAAGCGCGCGUAGGUGGUUCGUUAAGUUGAAUGUGAAAGCCCCGGGCUCAACCUGGGAGCUGCAUCCAAAACUGGCGAGCUAGAGUAGGGCAGAGGGUGGUGGAAUUUACUGUGUAGCGGUGAGAUGCGUAGAUAUAGGAAGGAACACCAGUGGCGAAGGCGACCACCUGGGCUCAUACUGACACUGAGGUGCGAAAGCGUGGGGAGCAAACAGG